This 401-nucleotide ribosomal RNA is filed under the name uncultured bacterium. Its description in RNAcentral is "bacterial SSU rRNA". It matches the Rfam family "Bacterial small subunit ribosomal RNA", at positions 29 to 431 of the family's 1533-position model. The record is from RNAcentral.
AUUGAACGCUGGCGGAAUGCUUUACACAUGCAAGUCGAGCGGCAGCGCGGGGCAACCUGGCGGCGAGCGGCGAACGGGUGAGUAAUGCAUCGGAACAUGUCCAUGUCGUGGGGGAUAGCCCGGCGAAAGCCGGAUUAAUACCGCAUACGCCCGAGAGGGGAAAGCAGGGGACCGCAAGGCCUUGCGCGAUUGGGUUGGCCGAUGUCCGAUUAGCUUGUUGGUGAGGUAAAGGCUUACCAAGGCGAUGAUCGGUAGCUGGUCUGAGAGGAUGAUCAGCCACACUGGGACUGAGACACGGCCCAGACUCCUACGGGAGGCAGCAGUGGGGAAUUUUGGACCAAUGGGGGCAACCCUGAUCCAGCCAUUCCGCGUGAGUGAAGAAGGCCUUCGGGUUGUAAAGG